AUGUCGAUUCCGUGGGAUUGGCGGAGGUUCUCCAAAUCGACGACGCCGUACAGUCAGUUCGUCACCCUCGUCGUCAAGGACGAGGCGGGCCGCAGGCUCACGCGCACCAUGAGGAAAACCGACAACCUGCAGGUUCUCGUCGACUUCUACUACAACACCAUGGCGCCCGUCGUCGAGCGCGGCUCAGGGGUUUUCGAGUACCGCGGCACGCAGAUUGUGUUUCCCCGGCAGCAGGUGCCGGUGGAGUUCGACAUGAAGGACGGCGACGUCGUCGACUUCGUCCCGGUGGUCAAGCCGCACACGCUCGUCACCCCCGUGCUCAAGGAGAGCUGCGAGGAAUCGCGCAGCUUCGCCUGCACCGUGCGGAGGACCGACGAGCUCAAGGGCUUGAUGUCUUUCUACUGCUCGACGGCGCGAAAGUUUGGAGCUGUUUUUGAGUUGGACGGCAGACGUCUUGUAGGAGACGAGACGCCGGCGGACUUGCAGCUUGAGGAUGGGGCAAGCAUCCACGUUUCUGAACCUUGA
This 525-nucleotide ribosomal RNA is filed under the name Triticum aestivum (bread wheat). RNAcentral's name for it is "partial small subunit ribosomal RNA". The record is from RNAcentral. Lineage: Eukaryota; Viridiplantae; Streptophyta; Magnoliopsida; Poales; Poaceae.